RNAcentral lists this ribosomal RNA (301 nucleotides) under uncultured bacterium. RNAcentral's name for it is "partial 16S ribosomal RNA". It matches the Rfam family "Bacterial small subunit ribosomal RNA", at positions 509 to 807 of the family's 1533-position model. The record is from RNAcentral.
CAGCCGCCACGGUAAUACGGAGGGAGCUAGCGUUGUCCGGAAUUACUGGGCGUAAAGCGCACGUAGGCGGCUUUGUAAGUUAGAGGUGAAAGCCUGGAGCUCAACUCCAGAACUGCCUUUAAGACUGCAUCGCUUGAAUCCAGGAGAGGUGAGUGGAAUUCCGAGUGUAGAGGUGAAAUUCGUAGAUAUUCGGAAGAACACCAGUGGCGAAGGCGGCUCACUGGACUGGUAUUGACGCUGAGGAGCGAAAGCGUGGGGAGCGAACAGGAUUAGAGACCCCCGUAGUCCCUGUCUCUUAUAC